CUAGCUGUGGCAAGUGCAUUACCCAUUCUUUUUACACAUGCACUUCUUCUUCUUUUAAUCUAACGCUUUUCUAAAUUGGCACUUGGCAAUUCACAAUCAUGGUACUUCUAAUCUUUAUCUAUAAGAUCUCAAAAUUAUUCAUCUUUAAACCACCCACUGAUGACUUUAUCUUGCUGUAUGGCUAAAUGAACUUUUUAUCUUUCAGUACUCUGUCAGUCAUUUUCUCUAACCAAAUGAUUCUAUCUUUGGAAAGUUUAACUCCUCUAGUGUUCCUUAGACUUAGAAUCAAUGACAAUGUAGCAG
RNAcentral lists this long non-coding RNA (303 nucleotides) under Elaeis guineensis (African oil palm). RNAcentral's name for it is "long non-coding RNA (EGUI_LNC016993)". The record is from RNAcentral. Lineage: Eukaryota; Viridiplantae; Streptophyta; Magnoliopsida; Arecales; Arecaceae.